GAUGAACGCUAGCGGCAGGCUUAAUACAUGCAAGUCGAGGGGCAGCACGGUUAGCAAUAACUGGUGGCGACCGGCGCACGGGUGCGUAACACGUAUACAAUCUACCUUAAACAGGGGGAUAGCCUUUCGAAAGAGAGAUUAAAUACCCCGUAAUAAAUUGAACGGCAUCGUUUGAUUUUGAAGGCUCCGGCGGUUUGAGAUGAGUAUGACGUCUGAUUAGCUAGUUGGUGAGGUAACGGCUCACCAAGGCGACGAUCAGUAGGGGAUCUGAGAGGACUAACCCCCA
RNAcentral lists this ribosomal RNA (286 nucleotides) under uncultured bacterium. RNAcentral's name for it is "partial 16S ribosomal RNA". It matches the Rfam family "Bacterial small subunit ribosomal RNA", at positions 28 to 310 of the family's 1533-position model. The record is from RNAcentral.